This 482-nucleotide ribosomal RNA is filed under the name uncultured bacterium. Its description in RNAcentral is "partial 16S ribosomal RNA". It matches the Rfam family "Bacterial small subunit ribosomal RNA", at positions 30 to 507 of the family's 1533-position model. The record is from RNAcentral.
AUUGAACGCUGGCGGCAUGCCUUACACAUGCAAGUCGAACGGUAACGGGCCUUCGGGUGCCGACGAGUGGCGAACGGGUGAGUAAUACAUCGGAACGUGCCCGAUCGGGGGGGAUAACGAGGCGAAAGCUUUGCUAAUACCGCAUACGAUCUACGGAUGACAGCAGGGGACCGCAAGGCCUUGCGCGGACGGAGCGGCCGAUGGCAGAUUAGGUAGUUGGUGGGAUAAAAGCUUACCAAGCCGACGAUCUGUAGCUGGUCUGAGAGGAUGAUCAGCCACACUGGGACUGAGACACGGCCCAGACUCCUACGGGAGGCAGCAGUGGGGAAUUUUGGACAAUGGGCGCAAGCCUGAUCCAGCCAUGCCGCGUGCAGGAUGAAGGCCUUCGGGUUGUAAACUGCUUUUGUACGGAACGAAAAGCCUUCUUUUAAUACAGGAGGGUCAUGACGGUACCGUAAGAAUAAGCACCGGCUAACUACGUG